RNAcentral lists this non-coding RNA (27 nucleotides) under Bombyx mori (domestic silkworm). The record is from RNAcentral. Lineage: Eukaryota; Metazoa; Arthropoda; Insecta; Lepidoptera; Bombycidae.
UGAGAAAGCGUAUAUAGCGGUGAUAGG